This is a long non-coding RNA of Prosopis cineraria, 3549 nucleotides long. RefSeq lists it as uncharacterized. Lineage: Eukaryota; Viridiplantae; Streptophyta; Magnoliopsida; Fabales; Fabaceae. The record is from RefSeq and is a predicted model, not a curated record. The transcript is spliced from 4 exons.
AAGAGUGAUCAGAUAGAGUCGGAUAUUUCUUUCCCUUAUCCUUUCAGCUUUAGCAGGGAGAGACUAAGAGGGAGUGAACUUCAAACCCCUUUUGUAUCUUCUCCAAUCUUUCUUCGCCGCAUUCCUUUUCAUCCAUCGCCGGCGGCCACAAACAAGCUAGAGAUUCCUCUUCCUCCUCGGUUCAUGCAACAGCGACUCCUUCCUUUUCUGUUCCAGUUGCGGUGAGGGUGUGUGACGGGACUUCUUUUUUCUUUUUGGCCCAUGGUUGCACUGCUAGUUGGUGCUGCUUGCUCUUUCCGCCGCUGAUUGAAGAUGAUUGAUGGAUAAGAAGCUCCAUUGAGUAAAUUAGGAAUUGAUGCAUAUUAAGUGUUUGUUGAAAGGUUUGAAGGAGGAUUAGAUCUCAUUUAAAUAACUAGUUAUGGCUAGAGGAGUAUAUAUGAAGGAAAUUGAUGAUAAAUAAUGAUGCUUGGGAAAACUUUUAGAUAAUGAAUUUUCGUAUUCUUUUUUAAUUUUCCUGAUUAUGUGAAAAUUGGGAAGUUUAAUAAACUCAUAUAUCGACAUUAGAAAAUGUUAGGAUGAGAUUGAGGAGGAAAGAACUUAGAUGUACAGUGUUCACACUAAUGUCUAGGAGGUGUUUGAUAAAAUGUUUGUAAGAAGAAAUUUUGAAUUAUAGUGGUAAAAAAAAUAUUGUGAUGAUUGUAUUGCUGUAAAUUAGAACUAUGGAAGGCAAUUGUUUUCUACAAUGAAAGUUAGAAUGGAAUUACGAGAUCUUUUUUUCUUUUUUUGGGGGGGGGGGGUGGGGGAAUCGUUUGGUUUCCAAAUUCAAGCUCCAAAUUGUUUACACACAGACACACAUCUUGAAGAUGUCUAUGGAAUAUUUGAUGCAUGUCUGAAAAUGGUUAGAGUUAAGAUUUAUCUAUUCCACACCUCUGAAUUUUUGCACUGUAGAUUCUUGGAUGUAAAGUGUGAUGUGUGUGUGUGUGUACAUCCAUGAUUUAAAUUUAACUACAUGUGCUUUAGAAGAGUUGGAAAGUAAAAAAAAAUUAUUAUAUAAACAAAGUGCUGGAUAGAAAGUAUAUAUACACAAUACUUCAAGGAUUGAAAGGUCAAAGUUAUAAAUUGGGCUGAUUUGAGAAUUUAGUUGAUUACAGUAUUGUUAAUAUUGGAAAAGAGUUUAUUAAACUUGAAUGUAUGUCAUUAAGUUUUCUUUUUAUUUGUUAAUGGUAUUUAGAGGAAGGAAGAUUUGAUUGGAGCUCUAAAGAGUGAAUUUUAGUGCUUGAGAACAUUACAGGUAAGAUGAGGAUGAGAAGACUAUGGGAAGGUGAAAAUCGAUGCUGACUGUGAAGAUGAGGAUGUUGCAGCUGCAGUGAAGUCAACCUUGUGCUUGUGUUUCUCCAAUCAUUUUUAAUUUCACUUGUGCUUUCAUAUGCAUAAGUUGAGUCAGAUCAUAUUAAUUAUAUUUAAUGUCUCAAAAUAUGGUGGCCUAACCUUAUGCUUAAAUCUGUGCUUGUUGCUACAACCAAUACCUGUCUUUCUAGAUUAUGCUUUAAAACAGUUCUUUCAUAGUAAUUCAAGUGAGCUUUUAUUUUAGAUUACAAUCAAUCAUGUCCUUCGCAAGAGCUUGUGGCAACGGAUCUGCAUGGCUUGGAGUGGAGGUUCAGGCAUAUAUAUAUGGUUAUGCCACUUGCGCCUGUUAUAUUUUUUUAAUUCUUAAUAUGUAUUAGGAUUUAAUUUCUAGAGUUGAUCGAAAUACUAUAUCCUGUUUUUGUUUCUAUUUUGGAAUACAAAUGUAACUGCAUUGCAAAUGUAGAGUUGUUCCUAAGAUUAGGCCUUUUUUCGGGGGCUGAAUUUUUUUGUGGAGUUUGCAUAUGUUAAGACAAAACAAGAGCUUGCAACUCGGGAAGCUGAUCAAAAAAGGAGAGAGAGGCUAGUAUCUCAGUUUUUUGAAGUUAGUAAAUUUUAUGUUAAUUAGUUUGAGUCUAAAUAUAAUUUAUGUAUUUUUAGUACUUACCAGAGGUAUGGAUAUAUCUACUUUUGGCGGAGGUUUUUUAGUUCUUCAUUUACUUAUAUGCAUUUAAAAUCUUUUUUGUUGUGCACUUUAUUUAUGAAGAGUGCUAUCAUGCGCUUUUCUUUUUCUAGAGGCACUUCGGGAUGGUCAGAUAGAUUUGUCUUAGCUUGGAAUUGAUCCAAGUACGUGUAAGUGACCAGCACGUUAAAUUUUAAAAAUAUUAUUUAGUCUUUGAUGAUUGUGGACAGUGUUAAUACUUAACAGAGUGCCAAAUAGAAAUGAAAUAAUGAAAUCACUGUUAGAAGUGAGUUAUUUUAUGAGUAGAUCAGUAAACAUUAGUGUUUGCUGAAUUUUGUGUUUUCUUAACCACUUAUGGCACAUAGUAAGAUUGACUCAGCAAAUUAGUUUGUGUUUUUUGUGUUGGGGACUGAAUUUUCAGAAUGGAAGUGAGUUGUUCUUAUUUGUAGAGUAAUAUUUACUUUUCUUUCUCUUUGCAGUGAUUUCUGAAGUAAUGGCAAGUUUACUUUGUAAAGGUGCUCUUUGGUUCACUAUUUUGUAUUUUGCACAUGUGUGACACCAAGACAAACGGUGGAUGGAAAUUAACUUCACAUCUUUUAGGUGCCAUAUUAGUCUUCUUUGUUUUUUUUUUUAAAAAAAAAACUUUAGAUAAACUACUUAAAUAAAAGGCAUGAAUGUUAUGAUUUACACGUGGCAUGAAUGCAGCUUUCUUCCAAAGAGUCUUCAUAUGUUUUUGUUGCUUGUCCCAUCUUCCAAAAAUUUAUUGAUACUUGGCCUACUGAUCUCAUUAUAGAUUUUCAUCUUGAAAGAUCUUUGAGGACAAUCAAAAUUGAACUUUUAGUGCAGAUGCAAGUAAUCUAUCCUGUUUCUGUGUCAAUUUUAUCUUCACGAUUAGAAUAAGUUCCAAAAUUGUUUUACCUAAGUGUAAAAAUAGAUUUCACCAUGGCACAUGUGCAUUUAGUAAUCAUCUCUGUAAUGUUUUUGUUCUGCCCCUUCGUUGGUUUUUAUAUUCUUAGUGUGACUGUAGAGUUGCAAUGACAAUAUUCAAAGGUUUUGUACAUGUGUUUCAAGGGAGUUGACUGCUUGAAGUAUGAUAAUUGUGAGGAUAUACAUGGUCUUAGUCCGAAGGAAAGGCAUAAGAGGCUGUUUAUGGAAGAGGAAAUUGAUAAUUACGUUUUGUGAAUACAUGCACCCCAUAAUGAGUGAAGUUCUAAUAAAAUAUGGAAGGUCCACUUUAUUCUCUAUUUAUGAAUGGGACUUUGCGUCAAGUAUAUGGUGAUGAUUGCAUUUGUGAGUUUUGUACCUACCAUUACAGUUUUGCUUUUUUUUAUUAUUUUAGGAAUAAGUGUAAGCUUGAAGCUUUUCAUGCAGAUAGUUUUUUUCCCCCCUUGUUAGGUUUAGUUUGAAGAAUUUGCAGAACAAUGAUAUCUUUUAUUUUGGCAGGAGAAGACCAUGUAACAUCUUUUAUAAACUAUUAUAUGUUGUUUAUUGUAUUUAAAGCAAAUUAUAUGUUCUAUGUUUAA